Molecule: ribosomal RNA, 429 nt
Filed under: Chloroflexota bacterium
Lineage: Bacteria; Bacillati; Chloroflexota
Description: Chloroflexi bacterium partial 16S ribosomal RNA
Rfam family: Bacterial small subunit ribosomal RNA
Source: RNAcentral
UGGGGAAUAUUGCACAAUGGGCGCAAGCCUGAUGCAGCCAUGCCGCGGGUGUGAAGAAGGCCGUCGGGUUGUAAAGCACUUUCAGCGGGGAGGAAGGCGUUAAGGUUAAUAACCUUGGCGAUUGACGUUACCCGCAGAAGAAGCACCGGCUAACUCCGUGCCAGCAGCCGCGGUAAUACGGAGGGUGCAAGCGUUAAUCGGAAUUACUGGGCGUAAAGCGCACGCAGGCGGUCUGUCAAGUCGGAUGUGAAAUCCCCGGGCUCAACCUGGGAACUGCAUUCGAAACUGGCAGGCUAGAGUCUUGUAGAGGGAGGUAGAAUUCCAGGUGUAGCGAUGAAAUGCGUAGAGAUCUGGAGAAAUACCGGUGGCGAAGGCGGCCCCCUGGACAACGACUGACGCUCAGGUGCGAAAGCGUGGGUAGCAAACAGG